AGACGUCUACAUUAGAUACCCGGGUAGUCCCAGCCGUAAACUAUGCGCGUUAGGUGUAUCGGUGACCACGAGUCACCGAGGUGCCGAAGGGAAACCGUGAACCGUGCCGCCUGGGAAGUACGGUCGCAAGGCUGAAACUUAAAGGAAUUGGCGGGGAGCACCACAACGGGUGGAGCCUGCGGUUUAAUUGGACUCAACGCCGGGAAGCUCACCGGAUAAGACAGCGGAAUGAUUGCCGGGCUGAAGACUCUGCAUGACUAGCUG
RNAcentral lists this ribosomal RNA (264 nucleotides) under uncultured archaeon. RNAcentral's name for it is "partial 16S ribosomal RNA". It matches the Rfam family "Archaeal small subunit ribosomal RNA", at positions 717 to 982 of the family's 1478-position model. The record is from RNAcentral.